CUUUAUGCCAGCGGACAACUGAUGCAACGAACUCGACAAACACCAACCUUGCAUUUACUGCGUCAAAAUUUUGGGAUAAUUUACCUCAAGCGGUCUGCUUUGAAGUUCUCAGAGGAAUAAGACGCGCACCGAAGGAGAAGCAUUUCCAUUGGCUCCAGUCUGCCGAGACAGUCAGCAAAGUUCACACUGCGAGAGGGGGGUAAACUGGGGCUCCUGGACUGUGUUGUGUG
Molecule: long non-coding RNA, 230 nt
Organism: Onychostoma macrolepis
Lineage: Eukaryota; Metazoa; Chordata; Actinopteri; Cypriniformes; Cyprinidae
Exons: 3
Source: RefSeq, a predicted model, not a curated record